Molecule: non-coding RNA, 394 nt
Organism: Neolamprologus brichardi
Lineage: Eukaryota; Metazoa; Chordata; Actinopteri; Cichliformes; Cichlidae
Source: the annotation of a RefSeq genome assembly
UGGACAGCAAAGAGAAUACACCGUACUUUCAACAUGCUGGGGACCAUCUCUACUAUUAUUGUUGCUCUAGCAUGUGUGGAUGCUGCAAAAGUGUUGACCCAGACACCACCUGUCCACACAGUUUCUCCAGGACAGGAGGUUCUGCUCAAAUGCAACAUUCAGAGACCUGAAGGCUAUUAUGUCAGCUGGUACAAACAGGUCCCUGGUUCUAAUCACAGUUCACCAGACUUUGGAACAGGAUUCUCCUCAGACCGAUUUAACUCUAAAGCCUCAUCAAACAUUGAUUAUCAGUUUAUCAUUAAGCGAGCAGAAGCAGGAGACUCUGCUGUGUAUUACUGUAGCACAUGGGAUAACUCUGCUCAGGAGAGCGUAUCACAGUGAUUUACACUGUGAC